This is a non-coding RNA of Schistosoma mattheei, 45 nucleotides long. Lineage: Eukaryota; Metazoa; Platyhelminthes; Trematoda; Strigeidida; Schistosomatidae. The record is from Rfam.
AUCCAUCGGACGAGUCCCAAACAGGACAAAACGUGCGUCCUGGAU